UAUCUACAGGCUUAACACAUGCAAGUCGAGGGGCAGCAUGGUCUUAGCUUGCUAAGGCCGAUGGCGACCGGCGCACGGGUGAGUAACACGUAUCCAACCUGCCGUCUACUCUUGGACAGCCUUCUGAAAGGAAGAUUAAUACAAGAUGGCAUCAUGAGUCCGCAUGUUCACAUGAUUAAAGGUAUUCCGGUAGACGAUGGGGAUGCGCUCCAUUAGAUAGUAGGCGGGGUAACGGCCCACCUAGUCUUCGAUGGAUAGGGGUUCUGAGAGGAAGGUCCCCCACAUUGGAACUGAGACACGGUCCAAACUCCUACGGGAGGCAGCAGUGAGGAAUAUUGGUCAAUGGGCGCAGGCCUGAACCAGCCAAGUAGCGUGAAGGAUGACUGCCCUAUGGGUUGUAAACUUCUUUUAUAAAGGAAUAAAGUCGGGUAUGGAUACCCGUUUGCAUGUACUUUAUGAAUAAGGAUCGGCUAACUCCGUGCCAGCAGCCGCGGUAAUACGGAGGAUCCGAGCGUUAUCCGGAUUUAUUGGGUUUAAAGGGAGCGUAGAUGGAUGUUUAAGUCAGUUGUGAAAGUUUGCAGCUCAACCGUAAAAUUGCAGUUGAUACUGGAUAUCUUGAGUGCAGUUGAGGCAGGCGGAAUUCGUGGUGUAGCGGUGAAAUGCUUAGAUAUCACGAAGAACUCCGAUUGCGAAGGCAGCCUGCUAAGCUGCAACUGACAUUGAGGCUCGAAAGUGUGGGUAUCAAACAGGAUUAGAUACCCUGGUAGUCCACACGGUAAACGAUGAAUACUCGCUGUUUGCGAUAUACAGCAAGCGGCCAAGCGAAAGCGUUAAGUAUUCCACCUGGGGAGUACGCCGGCAACGGUGAAACUCAAAGGAAUUGACGGGGGCCCGCACAAGCGGAGGAACAUGUGGUUUAAUUCGAUGAUACGCGAGGAACCUUACCCGGGCUUAAAUUGCAGAUGAAUUACGGUGAAAGCCGUAAGCCGCAAGGCAUCUGUGAAGGUGCUGCAUGGUUGUCGUCAGCUCGUGCCGUGAGGUGUCGGCUUAAGUGCCAUAACGAGCGCAACCCUUGUUGUCAGUUACUAACAGGUUCCGCUGAGGACUCUGACAAGACUGCCAUCGUAAGAUGUGAGGAAGGUGGGGAUGACGUCAAAUCAGCACGGCCCUUACGUCCGGGGCUACACACGUGUUACAAUGGGGGGUACAGAGGGCCGCUACCACGCGAGUGGAUGCCAAUCCCCAAAACCUCUCUCAGUUCGGACUGGAGUCUGCAACCCGACUCCACGAAGCUGGAUUCGCUAGUAAUCGCGCAUCAGCCACGGCGCGGUGAAUACGUUCCCGGGCCUUGUACACACCGCCCGUCAAGCCAUGGGAGCCGGGGGUACCUGAAGUGCGUAACCGCGAGGAGCGCCCUAGGGUAAAACUGGUGACUGGGGCU
RNAcentral lists this ribosomal RNA (1441 nucleotides) under uncultured organism. RNAcentral describes it as "SSU rRNA". It matches the Rfam family "Bacterial small subunit ribosomal RNA". The record is from RNAcentral.